GAGGACACAGUCAAAAGUAUCUUCAAAUCCUAAAGUUUGACAAGCUUGGGCGUAAAGGAUGCAAGCUACUGGUCUUCUCUAAUUUGCACAGCGGUAUGAAAGAAUCAGUGUAUUGUCACUGAUGCCGAACAACAAGGAUAUCCACUAAUAGAUGAUGUUAUCAUAAGGAAGGGCUGAUGGCUAAUGUUUUCAAGAAUCAGGCUGAUCUACCAAGGGCUCGUUUGGACAUCAUAUUGCAUACGGACACAAGCAUGACUGUAUUGCUACGGCCAGGAUUACACAUGAAAAAGCAGUGAAUAAACAUAAAUUAAAAAAAUAAAGUUAGAAAAUGAAGAAAGUUGACCA
RNAcentral lists this long non-coding RNA (345 nucleotides) under Felis catus (domestic cat). Its description in RNAcentral is "lncRNA (ENSFCAG00000043763.2)". Lineage: Eukaryota; Metazoa; Chordata; Mammalia; Carnivora; Felidae. The record is from RNAcentral.